Molecule: long non-coding RNA, 3308 nt
Organism: Alexandromys fortis (reed vole)
Lineage: Eukaryota; Metazoa; Chordata; Mammalia; Rodentia; Cricetidae
Exons: 3
Source: RefSeq, a predicted model, not a curated record
CCCCUCGCACCCCCAGGCUCCGGAGCUGCACUGCGGCUGCGCGGGGUGUGGGGUUGGCACUGCUGCUCCGCCCUGCCCCGAGGUUCGAUGCUCUUGUGAAGUACCCCAGUGAUUGUGCUGUGACCGGCCGGCCUCUAGUCUAGGGAGUGGAUUUUAAGCGUGAACACCCAGUUAACUGUCAGAAACUCCAGGCUAGUGGCUGACCCAUUCUAGAACCGGAGUCGGAGUACAUUCCCACUCGGAGACUCGGAAUUUGCACAGCGGAGUAAAUAAUGCGAGAAAGCUGUGAAGAAGCUGAGAGGGGGUCUUGUCUACACAGAGAAGGACAAGGCCUGUGGAGCUGCAGAGAUGGACAACAGACAGCUGUAAGUACACAUGGGCAGGAAUUGUGUGUUUGUCCUAAAGGCAGGGCAAGAAGGCUGCCUCCAGCACAGAGAGCAGCAGAGGCUGUUACAGAGAAUUUUUGGGAGGGAGGACAUUGUUAGAAUGGCAACAGAGGAAGUUGAUUUUGGCAGCAGGCUUGGGAAGGACUUGAGGAGGGAAAAUGUAGAAAGGAGGCUUUUCCCAAGAGGAGACAAGUCUGUACAACACACUUAGGUGGGGUCGCAGCAACAGAAAAGACUGAACGUACGAGAGUUGUGUUUUCCUCUUCAUCAAACCCUGUUUUUCAGCUGUCUUCCCACUGGGUUUUGAAUUCAGCUUUCAUCCAGACUUACUGGUUUUCAUGCUGCCAAGAGCGUGUUGUAAGAUUGACUGCUUUCACCACCUGUGAGGACCUUACUCUGGGUUGGACAAGACUUGAGGGGAGCUGAUCAGUUUUCAAGUGUAAAGGUCUGGGCAUUCCGAACUCCAAUAAGAUCGGUCACACCUUGAGCUUGAAAGGGUGAAAUAAAACAGCCAUUGUUCCUGAUGUCAUUCUGUGUCGUGAGUGUAUGGUGGAAGGUUGGGGUGGCAUACGGCUCUCACUCAGGCUUUCUGAACAGCAUUAAGCUUGUGGGAACGCGAGCUUCGGUCCUCUGAGCCCUGCUCCUCCCAGUGUUUAUCCAGCGCAGUUCAUUGUUGGAUAAACACCUAGUAGUCUGCAAAUUUUCUCUCCUUUGUGUUUUGUUUGUGUUUUGAAGCUGUUGCUAAUUUCAUCUCUACUGGCUGCUUUGUGUUUUUAAAACUAUAUCUGGACAAAAUGUGAAUGUUAAUAUGUAUUUGACAGCAAUGCUGGGAAUUAAGAUGGCAACUGUCAAGAAGAAAAUAACACACACACACACACACAGUUAUUUUUAUGCUUGCUUUUUUUAAAUCAUGGAAUUUAAGAAAUUUAACAAACAAACAUCAAUACAUCAAGGGUGAGACCUUUUUUACUUUCUUUCUCUUUUACAUAGUGACUUUGGUUUUAGGGGCAGCGCCAUUAUCGUGGCAGUUUUCACUGGUGUCAUGCAGGAAAAAAAAUCAUCUCAAGAUUCCUGCUUUCUCAUCCCAACUGAGGUUUUCUAGGGAAGAAGCUAGCCACUGGGUGGAGUGCCUGGCAGCCAUAGAUCGUGCCUCCAGACCCCGAAGCGAAGACUUUCCCCAGGAACUGUGUCCUUGAUGACUAAAUGCAAUUGUCUAGAGGCUGAGAAAGACUGAAACACGGCCCGAGAACUCCAUUGGCCUGGGUAAAAUCAGUCCUCUCUCUGCUGUCAUACCGCCCACAGCAGAGGGAGGGGGGAGUUGGGUGGCCAACCAGGCUGCCAGCAGCCAAGCACACUAUGCCACCUGGCCCUUUCAAUAAGGUGCUAAGAAAUCAGCUGUAGUGCAGAAGCUCAUAGUGGAGACUGGGCCCCACCUUCUCCUAAGUGACCACCGUGAUGAAUUCCAUCAGGUCAAAGCUUUAUAUGACUCAUGGCAAGCAGAAGUCCAAGCUACUGAAGACUCUCAUCCACUCCAUGCUUUGGAAUCUGUGGCUAUACCCUUUCCCAGGUUCUUUCAAAUUGUAGUCAUGCUGUCUCAAACAUCCCACUUACACAGGACUAAAGGUGCUGUCCUUGCUUCUCCUUGCUGCAUCUAUAAUUGUUCAGUGUUCUUCCUUCUUAAAAAGAAGAUGCCAGGUAUGGCGGUGAACACCUACAAUCCCAAUACUUGAGAAACUAGAGCAGAAGAAUUACAAAUUCCAGACUAGCAAGAUCCUGUCUCAAGAAAAAAAAAUAAUAAUAAUAGUAAAAAUGACUAAGGAAAAGAAAACAAAGUAACAAACAAACCCCUCAACUUCUUUGAGACACAUCUUGUAUCAGACAUGAGUCUUUAAAUCUUUAUUAUUGUUUGUCAUGUAUCCCAGUCUGGCCUCAGACUUGCUGCUUGAAUGUAAUGAGGCUAGAUUUGAACUCCUGAUCCUUCUGCCUCCACUUCCCUCUAGUUUCAGGCACAGCACCACCACACCCACCUCCACUACUCUUCUUUAUGACUCAUCACUCUCCUGCUAACUAGUUUUGUUUGGCCGCAGUUUUAGCAUCCAGGCUUCCCUCUCUCCUCACUUCUACCCCCGUAUCCUACACUUGAGGAUGCUGUGCUUAGUUUCCUGAGACUGAGACAUUCUAACCAUUCUCUCAAUCAGGGAAGCUCCUUGAACAAAGGUAAACAACUUAAGAUAGCCUCAGAAAGUCCCUGAAACUGAACAAAUUCACUAGGCCUCUCCCUGCAACUGUAAACAAUAAAAGCUUCCUCUUGCAAGGAAGAAAUCUAGCCACAAAGAAGACUCAGUUGGCAGGGGAGCUGCAAAGACUUCAAAGGAGAGAAGCUGCAAAGGAGACUCUGAGAGCAGACCAGCUGCCUGGAAGAAGCAGAAACCAGCCGAGACUCCUGGAAGAGGCUUAGACCACCUGAGGCACCUGGAAAGGACCCUCUCCAAACUGUGCAGCUGCCUGUAUGCUGUGCAGUGUACUCCAGGCUCCCAGCUGUGUGGGCAGCCACCCAUGCUGGGAUGGCUUUAGUAACGCAGUUGUCUUUGAGUCUUUUCUGCUCCUGUAAGUAACCCAUCACCCAUACUCCUGUAAGUAACCUCAAUAAAACUCAUUGUUUCACCACUUUGGUCUGUCAUGGGUUCCCUAUCUGGGGUGAGGAGAUUUGCAUCUGUCCGGAAAAAAUUUUUCACACAACACUUGGUGACUUCAGCAUCCACAAAAAUUAUCCUUUUAGGCACCGUAGCCCCUCAGCCCCUCAGUCUUAUGUCUGUUAUUGCUUUUACCCAUUCCAUUCCAGCUAGACACCUCCAUGGUCAUGCACCUUAGAGAACUUCCUACCACAUAACCGUAUUGCCAGCAAAAAUCUUGAUUUCUAGA